GCAAACUUGGUCAUUUAGAGGAAGUAAAAGUCGUAACAAGGUUUCCGUAGGUGAACCUGCGGAAGGAUCAUUAAUGAAUAAACUUGAUGGAUUGUUGCUGGUUCCUUCAUUGGAGCAAGUGCACGUCUGUCAUUUUUAUCUUUCCACCAUGUGCACAAUGCAUAGAUCUGAAACUUUGAUUCGUGUGAUCGUCUUGGGGGGAUUGCUGUUUGUAAUGAGUAGCUUUCUCUGUGUUCAGAUUCUAUGAUUUUAUCAUUAUACUCCAAUGUAUGUUAUUGAACGAUGUUAAGGCCUUUUCAAAGCCUAUAAAUUGAUAAUACAACUUUCAGCAACGGAUCUCUUGGCUCUCGCAUCGAUGAAGAACGCAGC
This 369-nucleotide unclassified non-coding RNA is filed under the name uncultured fungus. Its description in RNAcentral is "partial contains small subunit ribosomal RNA, internal transcribed spacer 1, and 5.8S ribosomal RNA". The stretch from base 1 to 73 matches the Rfam family "Eukaryotic small subunit ribosomal RNA", at positions 1759 to 1831 of the family's 1831-position model. Lineage: Eukaryota; Fungi. The record is from RNAcentral.